GGUCCACAGCCUCUGCGAGGUUGUCCACGUACCCAUCAGCCUUCACUUCUGGAUGGUGCUCGUCACUGGGCCUGGAGAGGAUGGUGGAGGCACACAUGGCCCCUCCUGACUGUGCCCUCAACCUGGACACCUCCCCAAACCUGUCUCCCAUUGGGAGCCUGCUCAGCUUUGUGGCACAGUGCCAGCGGCCCAGCGCCCUCGGGUCUCCAGCACAGGCAUCUCACCUUUGAUGGUGGGAACGUGAGUGUACGCUGCUCUGGGCUCCCCGGGGGCUCACCCUGCAUCCCUGGCAUGGCCUAAUGCCUGGUGGGAGGAGCCUAGGACAUGUGCACUGUGGGGACUGCUGAGGGAGAGCCCCGGAGCUCCUGCCUGCCCUACCUUGAGGCCACGUCCACCGGACAGAGGGGGCACUGGCUGCUGGGUAAGCUGCCCUCUGGCUGGGAUUCUGGGGGCAGAAACCUCCCCAAAGCCUUCAACCACUCCCCAGGCAUCUCCCGAGGUCUCACUUAUGCUGAGGACUGAUUCCAUGAGGCAGCACAGAAGUCUCUGUGGGCUGAGUCCUGAAGGCAGGUGGGGGCUACUGGUAGACACAUGUGUGGGAGAGGAGGGCCCCAGCCACAGGAAGAGCUCAGGUGAGUUAAUGGGGACAUCCUAGAGCCUUUUUUUUUUUUUUUGAGACCAAGUGUCACCCUUGUCCAGGCUGGAGUACAGUGGUGCGGUCUUGGCUCACUGCAACCUCCACCUCCUGGAUUCAAGCGAUUCUCCUGCCUCAGCUCGGGAGUAGCUGGGACUACAGGCUACUUUUGUACUUUUAGUAGAGACAGGGUUUCACCAUGUUGGCCAGGCUGGUCUUGAACUCCUGAUCUCAAGUGACUCCCAAAGUGCUGAGAUUACAGGAGAGAGCCACCACACGCAGCCUGUACCCCAGUUUUGACAGUCAUUUGAGGAAGUGGCACCUCAUCCUAGGGGCUGUAAGCCAGAAGACCCCUCCCCACAGCCUUGCAUCCACAGAGGGGCUGCUGGAGCUUGGCAGGAAAUGGGGACCUGCCCGUCUGCAAACCUACCACUGCCGAGGGAAGUGUUCUCGGAUCACCCCAUGGCCUGGCCCAAGCUCCCUGAGAAGCAGGGAAACCACAGCCUCCCAGCUGUGUGCCCUGCCUUGGAAGCUGCCACCCUGGUCUAAGAGGACAUGCUUGAAGUUGGUUCUCACAACAUCUAAAAGUUGUGUUGUCCCUUUCAAAGCGUUUGCUUUCUGCAAAGGGCUUUCUUUACCCCAAAAUGACUGCCAUGAGCAGGGGUGCUUUUUCUUUUAAGGGUUCUCAGUCCAGUGGCCUGGAGGCUACCUCCUGCACUCAGGGACUGCUGAGGUUGUGGACCUGGAUGGGGGCACAGGGAGGGGAGGGCAGUGUGGGCUCCUCUGUGACUGGGGGGGUACACCUUUUGGCUCUUGUCCAGGUCCCAAGGGAACCCUGUCCCCUGCGCCCCUCCAGUGCCCCCACUUGCUGGGCCACCCGCUUAUACGGGGCUGCGGCCACUUUCCCUCCUACUGUCUCUGGGCACAGCACUCAGGCCUCACGUCCCUCGCUUCCUUACACCCUCCAAGGAAGAAAUGGCCACCGCCAUCUUGAACAGGUGAGGAAACAGCUCAGAAAGGUUCAGAGACUGGCUGAAGGUCACACGGUGGGGAGAGCAGAGCUGGGAUCUGACCGAGUUCUACUCCCAGCCCUGGUUCUUUCGAGAGCUUCCACCAUGGCUGGACCUUCCAGUUCCUUCCAGCAAAGGGUGGCUGACAGCACCCACUCCAAGCAGAGGCACUGACAAAUGCCAGAACCAGUGGGUGUUGCUCUACUGCUCCUGAAUGAACACACACCAAACUAAGAGUCUUGGGGACCAAACAAGCGGACGAGUGUGUGGUGCCCUCACCCAAACUCCCACCCAUCCCCUCACCCCCACCCCAUCCUCACCCACAGCCCCAUCUGCACCCUCACCCUGUCCCACACCCCAGUCCCACUUGUACCUCACCCUCACCUGAAACUUCACCCUUACCCAAACCUUCACCCCCACCGUCACCUGUGCCUUCACCUGCGCCUUCGCCCCCACCCCCACCCCAUCUGUACCUGCACCCUUGACUGCACCCACAACCCCUCCACAUCCUCACCCACACCCUCACCUGUACCCCCACCCUCAGCACCCUCACCCACAACAGCUCCAUCAGCACCUGCACCCACUCCCAAACCUGCUCCCUCACCCGAACCCUUGCCCACUCUAGCACCCUCACCCACACCUUCACCCUCACUCCCACCCUUCCCUGCACCUCUCCCGCUUCAUCAGAACCCCGGGCAAGAAGAGCUCAUGUCAGUCUCGGGCUUUAGAGGCCUCUCGUUCUGCUCAUGCCAUUCUGUGUGUUCUGUGAUGGCACAGUGUGUCCACGCUUUAGGAAAGGUGGCACUGAAGAUGGGCAUGAUGCUGCAUCUGCUGAAAUCUGUUCUGGGCACUGUCACAAGGUCUUCUGCGGUAUGGGUCACUUUGGAAAACUGCAUGCUAAUAUCCUCUAGCAACCUGCAGUCCCACUCCUAGGUAUGUACUCAGCAGAAAUGCAUCUGCGCAUUCACCAAAGGCACAUGCUAGAAUGUUCCACACAGCUUUAGUUGCAAUAGCAGAAGUCAAACACUGGACAAAUGCCCGCCAGUGGGAGGAUGGGAAAACAGAUGGUGGCAGAAUCGCACACUGGAACGCUCCGCAGUGGCUCCGCCUGGCGUGAGCUCCCGCUGCAUGACAACGUGGGAGCCCGUGGGAGCCCCAGACCUGAAGAGCAACCAAAGCCACGUGAGGAGCACACAAGGCAUGGCCGAUUCAGAGGGCUCCGGAGCUGGCAAAGGCAGGCCAGUGACAGGGUGAGAUGGUGGUUUCCUCACGGAAUGGUGAAUGGGGUGCCAGGAACAUUCUAGAUCUUGACUGGGGUGGGGCUAACAUCCUGCUCUUCACUUCUAGAGCACUUUACUAAUGUUAUUUCUCAAAGAUUUAAUUAAAAAGCCACAUAUGGGCCGGGGGUGGUAGGUAGCUCACGCCUGUAAUCCUACUACCUUGGGAGGCUAAGGCAGGAAGAUUGCUUGAGCCCAGGAGGUCGACACCAGCCUGGGCAACAUGGUGAAACCCCAUCUCUACAAAAAAUACAAAAAUUAGUCAGGUGUAGCAGUCGCCUGUAAUCCCAGCUAUUCAGGAGGCUGAGGUGGGAGGAUUGCCUGAGCUUGGGAGGCUGAAGCUGUGGUGAGCUGUGAUCAUACCACUGCACUCCAGCCUGGGUGACAGAGUGAGACCUGUCUCAGAAAAAAAAAAAAAGCCGCACAUGAUGCUCACAGAUGCUGCCAAGAGGGCCAAUCCUACCGGUGGCCUGUUUUUACAUUUUUUAAGGGACGUAAAAAGAAGAGAAUAAUACUCAAAAGAGACCAAACGGAAGCCUGCAGAGCCUGCAGAGGUACCUCUUGGAGGACAGAUGCCAUGAGGGGAAGCACUUCUUCCCUCGGCAGCUCUACCUCUGAGACUGUGCUGGCCCUGGCUGAGGGUAGGUGGGCAAGAGGGCAGGGGGGCAGGAGGGCAGGAGGGGCCCCCUGACUGAGACAGAGACAGCGCCAGAUCAGCCCCCUGGCAAAACACCUCUCGGCCUCAGUUUCUUCAUCUGUGCCUUGAGCCCCCUACCAGCCACGUGGCCUCAGGCAACUUCCGUAGGCCCCUGUGCCUUGGUGUCCCCACCCCUACACUGAGGUCAUAAUAGCAUGCGCCAUGGGCUCCUGUCAGGAGGGCAGGAACUCGUGGCAAGGACAGGUUGGUUGGUGCGGGCAUGGGCGCUGUUGUGGCUAAAAUCGGGAACUCAGCAAUGCUGUCUGGGGAAUGCGCCUUGGGCUGGGGCUGGGUGGGCCAGGGAGGUGGUUUGUGAUUGGCCUUGAGCCUUCCCCUGGGCACACAGGCUGGGUGGUGGGGACAGGCAGGCAGGCAGGCGGAUGGACACACCCUGGUGUGUGGGGUACAGCGAGGACAGAGUGAGCCCACCACAGGCACUGGAGUUGGGGGGAGGUCAGGAAGGCUCCAAGCAGGAUUCUAGGGGAUGUCCCAACAGCCUGGAGUCUAGGGAGGGUGCCUGCAGGCUCGCUCCUGCACCACGGCUCUGCCCCCUCUCGCCCUCUGCACCUGUGGCGCCAUGCCUCCCUGGGCUCACCUCUGCCUGGCCUGUGUGCAUGGCCUGGGCUCCCCCUGGUGUCUGGGAAGAUGAGCUCGGAAGCCUGCUCGCUGCCACCGUGUGUGCCCAGCCACACUCACAAGGAGUCCAGGGCUGAGGCCUCACUGGUACCAGUUCUCUCAGCCAGUUCCCAUCUGAUUCCCAACUUCUCUCCUCAUGGCGGUGAGAGGUCUGGGCUCCUUGUUGCCCAAAGCGGAACAGAUUUUUCCAGCAAACACUGCCCACAAUUCAUCAUCUCAGCCCCCUGGGGACUGGCCCCCAGGACCCCCUCGGGCACCUCCUGAGCCAGGCUUACUGUCCAGGCAAAAGAAACCAGCCCCGAGAGGGAACAAGAGUCCUCCCCACAGAUGAUGAGGCUUUGUAAUGAGAAUCCAACCAGCCCCACUCCGUGCACGUACCUAGCCGAAUGGCGUCUGUGGCUAAUUAUGUUUAAUUACAUGUCAUUUAAAUUCAAGAAUCCACUAAAAGAAAGGAUUGCAUUAGCACCCGACCAGUGUUUGCCCACACGCAGCAGAAAUCGUGGACUUUUAUGUCAUUAAGACGUGACGCGGCUGUGGGCUGCGGCUCCCAGGGAGUUGGAGUAGACGGGAGGGGACCGUUUCUGCCCGGCUGGCCCCAAGCCCCUGAAGCCGCUCUGCCUGGUCCAACGGCCUGCGCAGGAGUCGUCCCUGCCCCACACUGGCCAGUGCCCUGUGACCUACGGGCCUCAGAGAUGCCAUGGUACAAAAGCUGAACCAAGAAACCCAGCAAAGGUGAGCCCUUGGUAGUGGGGACAGAGCUGGAGGAGGAGGAAGAGAAGACAGGAACACGGCCACACACGGAGGGAGGGAGGGAGGGAGGGCAGGGACAGGAGGGACUACAAGACAGGCAGAAACAGGGAAAGAGAAAAGAAACAGAAAAGGAGGGUGGAGAGGGCAGGCGGGUAGAGACAGACACGGAGGGAGGGGACAGGCCCGGGACACAGGAACAGAGACCACACCAUGUGCAGGGCACAGGUCUUCACCAGGCAGGGAGGCGUUGCUCGGGCUGGGGCUGCCCCGGGGUUCUGAGUCCAGGCCACGUGGGCCUGCAUAAGCCCCUCUGCCCUUCCCUGGCUUACGGGCCCUGGCUGAGGGCUCCCUGUGGGGGUCCCAGCACUGCUCCUCCUCUGCCCCAGGCCCAGCCCAGGCCCUCACCUAGGUGAGCACCCAGUGAACUGUCCCCAGUCAACUUCGUGGCCCAGGGCAGGUCUCUUUACCUCCCUGAGCCUCGGCUUCCUCAUCUAUAAGGUGGCAGGGGGCCUCGCUCCAGGGGCCACUCAGAUGAAACAGAUGAAACGGGGCGAGACUGAACACGAACCUGGCAUUUCCCCUGCACCUGGGGACUCUGCAGCCCACACUGGCACUGGCUCCUGCCCCCAUCCCACCUCCACCCUCUGCCCUCCAGGCUUCACAGGCCAGUUCCACACUCACAGUUCUCAUCACUGCUGGGAAGGAAAGAAAAGGGCCUGGAGUCACCGCACUGAUGGGAGAGGGGGCGGGCAGAACUGAGUGGGGACACUUCCAGAAACGGACAUGAAAGCGCGCACCACUCCCAUCCAUCGUCCUUGCUGCUGUCCUCCUGAGAAUGGCGUGGAGACACCAGGCCUUUGCAGGGCGGCUUCCUCUCCAAGCCAGAGUGCCCGGCCCUCAGGGCCUGGCUGGGAGAUGGAGGCAGUGGGAGAUAUCCCCAAGUGCCUGCAGAGUGGCCGUGGGCUCUCUCCUGUCCUGGGUGCGGCCUCCCUCGGGUUGCAUUUCGGUCUCUGGCUGAGGACCUGCUUCUCGUGUGGGGCAUCCUCCAGGUACCUCCCCUGUCCUUGCGCAGCACCCUGCAGGUGGGUCCUAUUGUCUGAUUUGGAGGUGGAAGUGGAGAGACACGGCAGUGAAGUGUGUGGGCAGAAUGGCCAGGAGGCCGGCCUGGAGCUAGCAUGGCUUCCUCAGGCCCCACAGGGUGACCUGGGCCCCUUGGGGACAGGAGGUCUGCUAAACCCUGUUCCUUUCCCUUUCCUCCUCCCCCUCCACCGGCUUGUCCAUCCAGCCUGGCCCCCUCUUGUCUCUUCUGCAGAGUAGCUUCCCCAGAUGCUCACCUGCUCCUGCCUCCCCCGUAAACCGCUGUGGCUCCCUACUGUCUACGUCGUAGCCCAGUUCCUCAGCAUGGCAGGCAAGUCCAUCCUGCCUGGGCCUUACCUGCGGAUCUCUCUUCCCAUGCCAGCCUCUCAGUGCCUGGGCCGCCGCUCCACAGAUGUCCCAGCUCUCCCUGCCACUGCCCAUGCUAUACCCUAGAAUGCUCUCUUGAAACCUGCUCCACAUGCAAACUCCUACUCAUGCUUUAAGACCCUACUUGUCCCCGUCUCCAAUCUAUGUUCCUUCCACUGGGUGAGCUGCUGUCUCUUCUGAGCAUGCAGAAUGUGCCCCCCACCCCACCCCGUGCCACGCCACCACAGCUGGGUGCUGCUCUGCCGCUUCACCUGCAGGUGAUUGUGCUGACUUCACUUCCUGGAGGGAUAGGCCAGGUUUCCUGCCCUCGGUGCCGCCCGCCCUCCCCAGGCGUGGGCCAGAGCAGGCACCCAGGAAGUCUCCACCAAAUGAAUGAACAAAGGCCCUCAGCUGGGCCGGGCAGUGCCCAUCAUCAGUGAUUCCUCCCUCUCAUGCCCUGUGAGUUAAAUGCAGGGAAUGAGUGAGUGACAGGCAGAAAACAAGGCGGUUCUGUGUCUGACUAGCUUCACGGGGACAGUCUCAAUCGAAGGAAAUGGUGGCCAGACCCCAGCAAACAAGCCUCAUGAGGGUGGUCUCCCUGCCGCUACCUCCAGGGCACAUGCCUCCUGGGCAACACUGACCAAGGGGAGAUGGCGGCCUCUCCCAGAGGGGCUCUUGAGGGUCCUGCCCUGCCUGGGGCUCCCAGGGUGUGGCCUGUCCACCCCCUCCCACCCUGCAGGGUCACGGGCAGGGGCAGGGUGGGGAAGAGGCUCUCACAACUGGAGGCCGAAACAGCUGCCUGCCCAUGGAGGGCCAUGUUCCCCAUCCCCAGUUGCUUUGGAAAGGCAGUAGCUGAGAGCCAGGUGCUGGGGGCGGCUGCCCCGUGAAUUCAGGGAUCUGAGCAUUGGCAUCAGAGGGUGAUGUCAGCUCAGCUGUGCUGACAGACUUGCAGAACAAAGAGGCCACUGAUUCAUGAGGUGGAGGUGGCAAGGCCGGGCAUGGGGCAGCCUCCAUCAGAACCCCAGGAGCCCAAGAUCCCUGGGGCCUGGGGGGUUGUUUCUAGAAGGGUGUUCACCAGAGCCUGGCCCUGGCAAGUGCUGGGAGGAUGUGUCUGGGAGGCCUGCCUCCACCUGCACACCUCAGCUUCUCUGAAGGCUGAUUGUCAGAUGCCUGCAGGAGCGCAGCACUGUGCCCACGGGGUUCCCUGCUGUCCACAUGCUGGCUCAGCAUGGCCACCUUCAGGACAGCAGCUUGCUGGGGCCCGGUGAUGGGGGAAGAAAAACCCACAUGCUGCCCAUGACCUGGCCUGAGCUGGGCUCCUGGCAGAUGCCCAAGGAUCAGUGACUUCCUUACAGGGUGGUGGGGUGGGGGCGUGGGGGGUUGUGGGGUGGACAUGGCCACGGAUCUCAGGCAGGUUGCUCUGACCCCUCCAUUCCCUGGGCUAACACUGGGCCUAGGUUCUGGAAGUGCUUCGGGGGGUGUGACAUGUCCAGAUCCAGGUACCUCUAGAAAGGCGCCGUGUCCUGCUGCUUAAAAAGAAACCCGAGCCAGGAGCUCCUUCCCAUGGAGCCUGUGCAUCCAGCCAAGGCCUCUGGCCCAAGAGGGACACAGGACUCUGACCUGGUGGCUGCUUGCAGAGAUCACAUGGCGCCUGAGCCAGCACUCUAGUCCCAGGCCUGGGCCUCAGCAGGUGCUGGGGACACAGGCUCCAGCCUCAGCUGCCUUGCCUCACUCAGGGACUGCUCAGCCUCAGGCCUGUGUGCCCCCAAGCCGGCUCUGCCCACAGGCCUGGGGACUGCUGUGAGUCAGCCUGGAGCCCCGGAGCCCAGCCUGGGGACCCUCUAGCCCAGGGUACCUCCUGCCACGAAGGCCAGCUGGGUCCAGGCGGGAAGGGCAGUCUGGAGGGACCGGAGAGUGGGGCCACAGGCCAGUCCCACGGCGAGGACCAAAGGGAGGCUCCCAUCCUGGAGACCUGCCCUCCCCUUGUCUCCCCACCCCCCGCUCACACAUGCGGGAGCUUCCUGGGCUACCUUAAAGCCACUUGGCAGAAAAACAUCAAAAUAAAAACCCAGGCCUAAAGGAGUCCUUGCCCUGGGCCUCUCUGGGGCCCUCAGCCCUCUGGCCAGGAACAGGGAUGGGGACACACUUCCCCGACUGGGCCCUCUCUUGGAGGUGCCACGCUCCCUUUCCCACUGGCCCAGCCGAAAGCAAAGCAGUGGCCGGCUUGGGGGAACCACGUGCUGGUCCCCCAUCUAUCUGGCCAUCUCUUCCUCUGUAACCAGGAGGGGUGGGGUGGGAGGAGGUGACCCGUCUCCCAGAGCCCCUACCCAUAGCAUCUGUGUGUGACUGGGAAAGUUUUGCAUCCUGGCUGAGCCUGCCCAGCCCAAACCACCCAUGCCCGCCUUCCCCCCACCUAGGGUGAGCCAGACACCCACAGAGGCUGGGCCUGAGGGCACUGCAGAUGUUUGGCCAGGCUGCAGCCCCCAGGUGGCGCUUCGUACAAAGACAGCCAGGGCAAUGGUGAGAGGCCUGAAUUCCCCAACUCUGUCCCUCCCCAGCCUGGUCCCAGCCCCAGUGCCCCUCCCAGGGGCUGCAGCUGGCCACGCCCGCCCUGCCCUGCCUGUCCAGGAGGCCUGUCAAGGAUGUCUCAGAGCUAAGAGUGAGGUGGGGUCCUGUGCCCCCAGCCGAAAGACACACCUUCCCUGUGUGCACGUGUGUGGGCGGGUGCAACCCAGAGAUAGGAGAGGGCCGCACUGUCUCCUGCCCUCGGCCUUGGGUCCCUAUAGUUUCCUGGUGGUUUGACCCCCACAGUGUGGAUCUGUGAAGAGCAGGGGUGGGGGCAGGGCUGGGCUAGCUGAACCACAAUUUUCUUCCAUUGUGAGGGCAGGGCUGCCUAACUGAACCCCCUUUCCUUCCAGUGGGUGGUACUUAACUAGUCAGUACAAGAGUCUCUCCUUGUAGAAGGAGGCACUCACUGGGCUCUGAGCCCUGGUGGGUAAACUGAGGCACAGAAGGGCCUUGCCCAAGGUCUCACCCAUCCCCGAGAGCCUAUUUCACUGGAACUAGGCCUUGCCUGCCACCUGCAACCCAGAGCUCUCACCAGCCAGGCCCUGGGGUACAGGUGAGACUGCUCUAGCUAGCAGACGCAUGGCCACAUCAUUAGUGAUACCACAAUCGGCCCACACCUCUGCAGCAGGCCAGCUGUGGGCGGCAUCUCCACGUGCUCUGCACAGCACACCGUGGGGUGCGUACUGUGAUCCGCUUCUCUGAGAUAAGGAGACAGACCCCAGAGAGGAAGGGGUCACAGCCAGAGGCAGCAAAGCUGGGGUUUCAACCCAGUUGGUCUCCUUCCCACAAGAAUGGAAAUCUGGGCUCACAUUAGUGAUUCAUCCCUGGGCACAUGGACAUAGCCUGCAUCUGGGGGUCUCUGAUAGGCUGGUUGGCUCUGGCCAGACCUGGAGGCCUGUGGGCAGGGGUCUCCCCUCCCAGCCACCCCCAGAUGGAGCCAGGGUGCUAAGAAGAGGCCGUGGAGGGACAGCCUGCGUGGAGGCCGACGGGGACCUAGAGAAGAGGAAAGGUGCAUGCUGGGAGUGCACAUGGGGCUGGCAGCGCAUAGCCUCCCCAUGGCUGGUGCUCUGCAUGGGGCCACCCAGAUGCCUGCGUUCCUUGGGAUCUGCUGCCUUAUGGUCAACAGGACCCGGGGGCCAGGGCUGAGGCAAGGGUGUGUGCCAGCCAGCCAGAGGGCAGGGGGGCCUGGGCAAGGCUUUAAGCUCCCAAGCUGGAGCCUGGCGGGGAAGGGCUUUUGCUGUGAACCUUGGCACCCGCCAGCCCCUGUCCACAGGGAGGAAACGGGGCUUAUUUACAGCUGGGUUUAGCCAGGUGGCACCCUGUCAACCAGAACUGACACCAUGGCGCCAGCUAUUUCCUGCACGGUCCUCACUGCCCCAGUGACUGAGGCCGAGAGCAGACGUGGGAUGCAGUGAGAGGGACUGGUGGUGAUGCUUGGCUGCCCACUAGUGUAUGGUGGUCUCCGGAGACUCCCUCACAUGGCAAAUGUGGUCCUGUGAAUCCCCGACCCUGGCUGGAGUGUGGGGCAAGUGCUACCACCCACCUGCCUUCACCUGAUUCACGUACACAUAAGGCCCCGGUCAAGCGCACAAAACCAGAGCUUUUCAAAACCAAAAGCUGGAAAUCUAACUUCUGGAAAAAAUCUGAAAGACCCCAGUAUGGGUGGACAAACCGUGGGCAGCGGUGUGCCGCAGGGUGUGAUGUGGCAGCUGUCCCCUUGGAAGGGGCAAGGCGUGCCCCGCUGCCACGCUCCCCGCCAUUCUCUAGUGUCUCUCCAUUCCCACAGCAGGCAUGCGUCACUCUAGUGCACAUCCCCCUGCCCUGAGCUGUCUCGGAGUCUGCUGCACGGCCCUAAAGCUCUGGCUACCUGAGACUCAUUCCCCAAGAGCAAGUCACCUCCUUGUCUUCCCUGAAGCCUUCCUUCAACCCUCACCUCCUCAGUUAGGUGCCCAUUCUGCACUCCAUGGCAACUGUGUGGAUGCCAUCAUAGCACUCGUCAAUCUCUAGAAUUGUUUGGUUACCUGCGUGCUGCCCACUCCACAGAGAUCCCUGAAAUCAGGGGCAUUCCUUUGGUGGCCUCAUGGCCUUGGCUCGUACUGAGCUGUCAGCCAACUACCUGAGUUGACAAGCAGGCAGCCUCCUUCCUCCUAACCACUGGGGACUGUGGGUCAUCGCCCAGCAUCAGCUGCACGGCCCUAAAGCUCUGGCUACCUGAGACUCAUUCCCCAAGAGCAAGUCACCUCCUUGUCUUCCCUGAAGCCUUCCUUCAACCCUCACCUCCUCAGUUAGGUGCCCAUUCUGCACUCCAUGGCAACUCUGUGAGCCCCGGCCCUCCUAGAAAUAUGGGCUGGGGGUAGACAGCCCAUGAGUGGAGCGGUGAUGGGCAGACAGGCAGGCCCCUAGGGCUCAAGGCCUUAGCAACCUGGCCUGACUUCACCCUUCUGGUCCUCCCUAGAGCCCAGCUCCAGCACAAGGGGCCACAUGUACUUCACCUCCUUGGGGGAGGCCCCACUGCUUAAGACCCUGGGCACCUAGGCUGCAGUACUGAUACAGAGAACUGCCUUCUGGAGACUAAAUCCUUGGAUGGAGCACCCUCUCCCACAACCAGACUGAGAGGUGUGAGCAUGCUGGCCACCCCACCCAGGCCAACGCCCAGAUCGGGCCAGCCCUGUUUCUGGCCAGUGAAGCUGAGCCCUAUGUGGCAAGCCCCCCACCCUGCCUGGCCGCCUACAGCCCUCUGUGCUUUGGCGUAGCGGGUACCAGUGCUCCGGGGCAGGGGCCUAGGAAGAGCUGAAGGCGCCAAUAAUGGAAACAAAAGCUCACAGCAGCCGGGGUCCCGGAGGCCUGUCGGGGAACCCAUCACCCCAAGGGGCCCCACUAGCAACCGGGCCAGACCCAGAUUCCCUAAAGUGGCCCACAGGGGGCCCUGGAUUGGCCCCUGCUUACACAUCAGCUGCCCCUCUCCCCGACCCCAGCACUCACCUGCCCCUGCCUCACCUGGUGCCUUUCUCAGCCGCCUCCUCCGCCUGGUACACCCUCUCACCAGCCUCCCUCCAGGAGCCCCAACUCAGAGAUCCCUGCCCCGUGGUCUCCAGGACCUGUCCUACCCCCUGAAGAAACACACACUAAAUGAACGAAGACCUGGAGGGUCUCUGGGACACAGGCCUGGGGGAUCCAGUUGGAACUUCCAGAAUGGGGGCUGGCAGGGAGGAGCACCCCCAGAGUGGGUGGCUCUGUCCACAGAGCAUUACACCUGGUUCAGGGCCACAUUGUGGAUGCAGCUCCUGGGCACCCCAAGUCAAGCCCCAAGCAGCUGGCCGUCACCUCCCCCAGGAUGCCCACAGGAUGUCCAGACAGCAAAAGUGGCUUCUCUUUUUCUCCUUUUUUGUUUAUAGGAAGCUUUGAAAGCCAGGCCUCCCUAAUUCCAAUGACUCGAGGACUCGGGCUCCCACAGCCUGGCUGCUCCACCUGCACACCAGGAGGCGGGGCUGGCGGAGGGGCCUGGGCUUCGGCCAUGGGAAGGGCUGGCCCUGACCUCUGUGUGACCCUGGCCAAAUAGCCACUCAGAGCCUCCCUUCUCUCAUCUUGAAAGCUGGAAAGAACCCAUCCUAGGGCUACAGAGGAGAUUCACCAAAAUUAUACAGGGGUUGGCCACGGCAGGUGCUCGCCGGGGUGGUGCCUGGACAGGUGGAUGGGAAUGGACAAAUGGAUGGUCAGAAGGAUGAACGGAUGGGCAGGGAUGGAUGGAUGGGUGGGUGGGUGGACAAGUGGACAGAUGGACUGAUGGAUGGAUGGGGACAGACAGAGAAGGGUGGAUGGCAGGCCCUGCAUCAGUGGGGAAAGGUGAACAGAGACAGAUAGAUGGACAGACGGAUGGACAGGUGGGUGGGCUGCUCCCAGCAGGUCCUCAUGCUGGCCCUGGCCUCAUCAGAACUCACAUUAGCCUCACUGUCUGGAGAGCAGGCUCCAUCUUGAGAUGGUGGGCAGGUCCGAUGCCCAAACACCCAGGGGGCUUUCCCCAUGGGGCUCUCAAGAGAACCUCAAGGCCACGCCCAGCCAGGCCACCAGGCUCAGAGCACCACACUCCUGGCCCUCAGUGGCCAAGCAGGCCCUGGACAGCUGAUGCCCAGACCCUGCAGAGACACCUGUGUGGCUGUGCCCGGAAACCAGUGGCAAGAGGCCACGCUGGACUCUGAGACAGAGAAAGGGAAGCUCCUGUGGGUGCGGACCCAGCCCGUGUCUCCUCCAGGUCGAUGGGACACUCCUCUUAGAACACUACACCUGGCAGUGCCAGUCACAGAGAGUCCUCCCCCUGGGUACCUGGUGAGGGGUUUUCACAGCAGCUGGGGAGUGGGUGCCUCGCCCCAUCUUACAGCUGACCAAAUGGAGGCUCAAAGCUGGUGGGAGGACCCCUGCCUGCCUUGCAGCCUGGGCCAGCAGGUGGCUGGCAGGACUCACCUAGAAGGCUUUGGCAGAGGGAUGAACUUGGGCACAGCACCUCAAAGCAGAGGAGCCUCUUGCAGCUGUUCACAGUAUUUUGAUAAAAACAUGUUAAACACCUGGUGUGUGUCUAGAUUUUAAAGAGCUGACUCCGCCCCUCCCAGUGUGCACUACAAAGGCCAGAUCCCCCAGAGUUCUGCAUGCACCCUCACCCAGGGGCACAGGCUGGGCUCAGGGCGGGGCUCUCAUUUGAACUGCCCCAGAAGUGCCACCCCACCUCCUCUCCUUUUCAGGCCAAACCACAUGGGGGUGGAGAAGCCCCAUGUCUAGCCCAGCGGCCCAGGAGAAAGCAGGGGUGCAGAGAGGUGGGGCCGUCCUCUCCCAGGGCUCAGUGUGCCCCUGCUGGUCCUGGGGACGCUGGAGUCACUUCAGCCCCACGAUUUCAGAGCCUAGUGUCAUCCCGACCACUACUCACAGCCCUGAGUGCUAGGCUGGGGGAUCUUUUUGACAGGUGGCGGUGACACUGAUAGGGACUUGCUAUCCUGGGUGGUGACCCCCAUGUUCUGCCCAAUGGGCAAAGAAGCUGAAGCUGAGGGACAGGUGAGGGGCCUGCCUGGAGCCCUACGCCGCUGUCUUAGGCAGGACUGACAGGAUGGAUGUCUCUGUGAAGGGGUCUCAUUAGGAGAACUGGCUCACACCAUCACAAGGCAAGUCCACGAUAGGCCAUAUGCAAGCUGCGGAAGAGAGAAGCUGGUAGUGGCUCAGUCCAAGUCCAAAAGCCUCAAAAGCAGGGAGGCCGGCACUGCCCGAGCGCUCCCAGCAAACCACUGGUGCAAAAGUCCCGGAGUCCAGAGGCCGGAGAACCCAGAGUCUGACGUCCAACAGCAGGAAGCAUCCAGCACGGGAGACGGAUGAACACCAGAAGACCCAGCAAACGCAGUCUCCACCACCCUCCACCUGCUUUGUUCCAGCCGUGCAAGCCGCCGGUGGGACUCCCUCUCCCCGUCCACCGACUCAAAUGUCAGUCUCCUCUGGCAACACCCUCGCAGACACUUGACCAGCCCAGCCAUCCAGGCCUCCUUCAAUCCAAUCAAGCUGACACCUCGUAGUCACCAUCACAGUGGCAGGGCAGGGCUCACACCUUCAGCCUCCGUCCUGGCCUGUCUGUGGGGAAGCAGGUCCCUGACAGUCAGGCCUCCCAGCCACCCACCCAGCUUCAUGGUGCUCCCUGCUCAUGGGCCAGGCUGCCCGCCCUGUGUUGUUUAGGGUCUGAUGUGUAGAGCCCUCAUUCCAAGAAAAGCUCGGCCCCUGCUUAGCGAUGUGGCUGUGCUAACUCCACGCUCUCCAGGGGUUCACAUGGGACCUCCUGCGGCAUCGGCCCACUCUGCAUGUGUCCAUCUACAGGGAUUCAUGCAGGUGCCUCAGGAAGGAAAUGACACCACUACACGCCUGCCUGAAUGGCCAGCGUGGAGAGGUCCGGCCACACCGUGUGCUGGAGAACGCGCAGUGCCGUGGGAACUCACGCGAGGCUGGCGGGAAUGCAUCAGGACUCAUCGGGCGCACUGGAGAGACGUUUGGUGAGAAUGUCCCACAGAAACACAUGCUCGCCAUGGGACCCUGCAGCCCGGGUCCAGAGUCACAUGCAUGAAAUAAGGCUAAGUCCAUGAAGAGCCGUGGACAGGCCUUUUCUGAUCAGCUCUGUUCACAGGGACCCUAAGCCAGAAACCGCCCAAGGGUCCAGCAACAGUGAAAUGAUGAAUACAUUGUGGUCCAGCCUCGUGAUGAAACAUCGCCCAUGGAUGCCACAGGAUGGAGGAGAGAUCCAGAGGAAGUUUGAGGGGUGGCUCAGAAACCACAGUAAGGAAGAAAGGAGAUAUCCACACAAGGGGCCUAGGAAUUUGAGCAAAAAAAAACCACUUAGCUUUGAGUCCCCUGGGAGCCAAAGCAAAGAUGGAAUCCCUGUAGGUUACACAGAAACAGAUAACUGUUUAGGAGGGACAGCCUUCCCAGGAGCACAGGCCAGGGUGCGAGGGGCGUGCGUGGCCUUCUGUGGCAGCCAAGGCUCCAGCACAGGAUCUGGGAGCUCAGAAGCCAUUCUUCCCACAUGGGCAGACCCCUGGCCAUCUCCGAUACAUGCAAACUUGAAGGUGCCUGCUGUGGCUCCCCGGGGGACAGCCGGGUUCUGGGCCCAGAUUGCAGUCCUCCUCCUGCCCUUGGCAGCCUGCUGGGUGCCCUCCUCAUGCCCCCACCCAGGUUGCAGUGGGUGGGGAAGAACAGAGCUGGGGCUCAUCCCUCUCCAGUGCCCAACCCUACAACCCUGCUCAGCAACCCCAAGCAAGAGAAGUCACUCCAAAGGCCAGUGUGAUGGCAGAGGGGACCAGAGGCCCUCACCUGGGGAGGAGUCAUUCCAGCAGAAAGAGGCAGGCCCAGUCUCAUUAAAUGACGUGGUAUCUUAGUCUGUUUUCACACUAUUAAUAAAGACAUACCUGAGGCUGGGUACUUUAUAAAGGAAAGAGGUUUAACAGACUCACAGUUCCACAUGGCUGGGGAGGCCUCACAAUCACAGCGGAAGACAAAGGAGGAGCAAAGGGGCCAGGCGCGGUGGCUCACACCUGUAAUCCCAGCACUUUGGGAGGCCAAGGCAGGCGCAUCACUUAAGAUUAGGAGUUCCAAACUAGCUUGGCCAACAUGGUGAAACCCGUCUCUACUAAAAAUACAAAAAUUAGCCAGGGGUGGUGGCACGUGCCUGUAGUCCCAGCUACUCAGGAGGUUGUGCUCCCUGGUGAGGGCCCAGCAUAUACUAGCCAUCCCUGCGGGUGACCUGAAUGUCACCAAGAUCCACAGGAAGAUCAUGCUCUUCCACCCGCGCCUGGAAGUCUUUCCCAGAGACUCAGCUCUAAGGGGACCCACCCACAGCCUGGGAUAUGGAAAGGUUUCCAUGAAGUUUCACUGAGACAAUUAUUAUUUGUUGAUUAAAAAUAAAUAUAUUUUUAAUGUAAAAGUUUACUGAAUUUGGCCAGGGAUGGUGGCUAACACCUGUAAUCUUAGAACUUUGUGAGGCCAAGGUGGGUGGAUCACCUGAGGUCACUUCUAGACCAGCCUGGCCAACAUGGUGAAACCCUAUCUCUAUUAAAAAUGCAAACAUUAGCCGGGCGUGGUGGUGGGUGCCUGUAAUCCCAGUUACUCAGGACGCUGAGGCAGGAGAGUCGCUUGAACCUGGGAGGUAGAGGUUGCAGUGAGCUGAGAUUGCACCACCGCACUCCAGCCUGGGCGACAGAGUGAGACUGUCUUGAGGAAAAAAAAAACUUUACUGAAUUGAAGGAAAAAUGCCAUAGGAAUUCCAGAGAUAUUUACAACAGGAAAGGAGAUGCUUAACCCUGGGGAGUAAUUAAGGUUGGUAGAGUUUAUCUGCUCUGCAAAAUAUUACGCAGCUAUGAACAAUGAGCAGGGUGAGGGUGAGAAGACAAGCCUUAUACAUGCCCAUGCCCACAGUUGCAGAAGACAGCUGGCAGGAAACUGGAGGAAAUCAACAACUGUCUAAGCAUACACUUUUUUUUAAAAGUUCUCUUGGCUACAGCGAUGUUUUUUGUUUUUUUUUUUGAGAUGUAGUCUCACUCUGUCGCCCAGGCUGGAGUACAGUGGUGUGAUCUUGGCUCACUAUAACCUCCGCCUCCUAGUUUCUUGCCCCAGCCUCCUGAGUAGCUAGGAUUACAGGUGCGUGCCACCAUACCCGGCUAAUUUUUUGUAUUUUUAGUAGAGAUGGGGUUUCUUCAUGUUGGCCAGGCUGGUCCCAAACUCUUGACCUCAAGUGAUCCACCUGCCUCAGCCUCCCAAGUGCUGGGAUUCCAGGUGUGAGCCACCACACCCGGCCAGUGCUGUCUUAGUAAUGUGUAUAAUAACCGCCAAGUCUCUAGUUUGGUUGUGGCGCCAUUCCACAGAGGUACUGAGGAGGCUGAAAGGUCAAGGGUGUCCUGCAGCCCCGCCAGACUCAACGAGGGCCUGGUGCUGAACGGCCAUGGGAGGGACGAUCCAGGCAGCCCUGGCCCUGGGCAGUGCAGGCAUGGCAAAAGCCACCUGCUCCAUAGACCAUAUCAGUAAAUUAUGGAGUGAGGGACAGCCCUGGUCAGCCUAGGGAGGCCCUGGAGCCGGUGAAACCUCCUGCUUCAAACACACAUGACGUGGAGACCGCCCAGGGCUCGUCCUCGCCCCAGACCCUCUGCUCAGCCACGGCCACUGGGAACGUUGUGUUUGGGUCCCAAGACCACCACCCUCUGGACAGGGUGUCCCGGGGGUCUGUCCAGCAGGUCCACGGUCGCGCCUCACUCAGGGCCACUUGGGGAAGACCUCGAGUCACCCCCGUGAGAGGAGGACAUGGGAGGAAAGCUCAGGUCAUGUGGCCAGCACACGGGGGCUGGGAUGAGGAGCCCAGUGUGACUCCAAUGCUGGAAACAACUGCAGGGAAAGAAGAGUG
Molecule: non-coding RNA, 17926 nt
Organism: Callithrix jacchus (white-tufted-ear marmoset)
Lineage: Eukaryota; Metazoa; Chordata; Mammalia; Primates; Cebidae
Source: RefSeq, a predicted model, not a curated record